UCGGGAUAAGCUUGGGAAACUGGGUCUAAUACCGGAUAGGAACCAUCUUUAGUGUGGUGGUUGGAAAGUUUUUUCGGUGUAGGAUGAGCUCGCGGCCUAUCAGCUUGUUGGUGGGGUAAUGGCCUACCAAGGCGGCGACGGGUAGCCGGCCUGAGAGGGUGUACGGCCACAUUGGGACUGAGAUACGGCCCAG
This 193-nucleotide ribosomal RNA is filed under the name uncultured Actinomycetales bacterium. RNAcentral describes it as "partial 16S ribosomal RNA". It matches the Rfam family "Bacterial small subunit ribosomal RNA", at positions 138 to 334 of the family's 1533-position model. Lineage: Bacteria; Bacillati; Actinomycetota; Actinomycetes; Actinomycetales. The record is from RNAcentral.